GACGAACGCUGGCGGCGUGCUUAACACAUGCAAGUCGAACGGAAAGGCCCUGCUUUUGUGGGGUGCCCGAGGGGCGAACGGGUGAGUAACACGUGAGUAACCUGCCCUGGACUUUGGGAUAACUUCAGGAAACUGGGGCUAAUACCGGAUAGGAGCUCCUGCUGCAUGGGGGGGGUUGGAAAGUUUCGGCGGUUGGGGAUGGACUCGCGGCUUAUCAGCUUGUUGGUGGGGUAGUGGCUUACCAAGGCUUUGACGGGUAGCCGGCCUGAGAGGGUGACCGGCCACAUUGGGACUGAGAUACGGCCCAGACUCCUACGGGAGGCAGCAGUGGGGAAUAUUGCACAAUGGGCGGAAGCCUGAUGCAGCAACGCCGCGUGCGGGAUGACGGCCUUCGGGUUGUAAACCGCUUUCGCCUGUGACGAAGCGUGAGUGACGGUAAUGGGUAAAGAAGCACCGGCUAACUACGUG
RNAcentral lists this ribosomal RNA (468 nucleotides) under uncultured bacterium. RNAcentral describes it as "partial 16S ribosomal RNA". It matches the Rfam family "Bacterial small subunit ribosomal RNA", at positions 28 to 507 of the family's 1533-position model. The record is from RNAcentral.